This is a non-coding RNA of Gossypium raimondii (Peruvian cotton), 197 nucleotides long. The record is from Rfam. Lineage: Eukaryota; Viridiplantae; Streptophyta; Magnoliopsida; Malvales; Malvaceae.
UCAACUGUUUAAUUAAAACAAAGCAUUGCGAUGGUCCCUGCGGAUGCUCACGCAAUGUGAUUUCUGCUCAGUGCUCUAAAUGUCAAAGUGAAGAAAUUCAACCAAGCGCGGGUAAACGGUGGGAGUAACUAUGACUCUCUUAAGGUAGCCAAAUGCCUCAUCAUCUAAUUAGUGACGCACAUGAAUGGAUUAGUGAG